This 1338-nucleotide ribosomal RNA is filed under the name metagenome. RNAcentral describes it as "bacterial LSU rRNA". It matches the Rfam family "Bacterial large subunit ribosomal RNA", at positions 1564 to 2910 of the family's 2925-position model. The record is from RNAcentral.
UGAGUACGAGCUGCUACGGCAGCGAAGUGGGUGACGUCAAGCUUCCAAGAAAAGCCCUAUACCCGUUAAGGCAUGAUGGCCUGUACCCGAAACCGACACAGGUGGGGUGGUAGAGAAUACCGAGGGGCGCGAGAUAACUCUCUCUAAGGAACUCGGCAAAAUGGCCCCGUAACUUCGGGAGAAGGGGUGCCACCGCAAGGUGGUCGCAGUGAAGAGGCCCAGGCGACUGUUUACCAAAAACACAGGUCUCCGCUAAGUCGCAAGACGAUGUAUGGGGGCUGACGCCUGCCCAGUGCCGGAAGGUUAAGGAAGCUGGUCAGCGCAAGCGAAGCUAGCGACUGAAGCCCCGGUGAACGGCGGCCGUAACAAUAACGGUCCUAAGGUAGCGAAAUUCCUUGUCGGGUAAGUUCCGACCCGCACGAAAGGCGUAACGAUCUGGGCGCUGUCUCGGAGAGAGGCUCGGCGAAAUAGAAUUGUCUGUGAAGAUGCGGACUACGUGCACCCGGACAGAAAGACCCUAUGAAGCUUUACUGUAGCUUGGUAUUGUGCUCGGGCUCGGAAUGCGCAGGAUAGGUGGGAGGCUAUGAACCAUUGCUUGUGGGUGAUGGUGAGCCACUGGUGAGAUACCACUCUUUCCGAGCUAGAGUUCUAACAGCCACCCGUUAUCCGGGGGCCGGACAGUAUCAGGUGGGCAGUUUGACUGGGGCGGUCGCCUCCUAAAAGGUAACGGAGGCGCGCAAAGGUUUGCUCAGGCUGGUUGGAAAUCAGCCGACGAGUGUAAAAGCAGAAGCAAGCUUGACUGUGAGACCUACAAGUCGAGCAGGGAGGAAACUCGGCUUUAGUGAUCCGACGGUUCUGCGUGGAAGGGCCGUCGCUCAACGGAUAAAAGUUACUCUAAGGAUAACAGGCUGAUCUCCCCCAAGAGUUCACAUCGACGGGGAGGUUUGGCACCUCGAUGUCGGCUCAUCGCAACCUGGGGCUGAAGUCGGUCCCAAGGGUUGGGCUGUUCGCCCAUUAAAGCGGUACGCGAGCUGGGUUCAGAACGUCGUGAGACAGUUCGGUCCAUAUCCGGUGCAUGCGCAGGAAUAUUGAGAGGAUUUCUCCCUAGUACGAGAGGACCGGGAGGAACGCACCUCUGGUGUACCAGUUAUCGUGCCAACGGUAAACGCUGGGUAGCCAUGUGCGGAGAGGAUAACCGCUGAAAGCAUCUAAGUGGGAAGCCCACCUCAAGAUGAGUAUUCCCAUGGGUUAACCCAGUAAGGUCACGGGAAGAACACCCGUUGAUAGGCUCUACGUGGAAGCGCAGUAAUGUGUGAAGCGGAGGAGUACUAAUAGACC